UUGUAGCAGUAAGGCCUUAUGUGCCCCUUUCUUCCACAGUGAUGACAUCUCCAUGAGUGGUACCUGCUUCUUGGUCUAGGUAUAAACCUAGGUCUCUGCCAUCUUAGCUGAUGUGGUGCCACAUGUGGCAACACUUGUCUCUGCUGUCUAGGAGACAGAUGUGACGACAUCCUGUCAUGCAUUUUUGGAGACGGUUGUUUACUUAUCUCAGGCAUAUAUUUCCCUUCUUUGUUGUAAUCCAUAAUCCUAUUAACAUUUUUGUAUUCAUACCCAAUGCCUGUUUUGGAUCUACUUGGAGCAGGCAAAGUUUCCAGGAUUUCAUCUAGAUCACUUCCUUUGAAUAGCCUAAGAACAUGCUUUUUUAAAUUCUCAAGAUGAGAGUUUAAUUCAGUU
This 393-nucleotide long non-coding RNA is filed under the name Trifolium pratense (red clover). Its description in RNAcentral is "long non-coding RNA (TPRA_LNC008638)". Lineage: Eukaryota; Viridiplantae; Streptophyta; Magnoliopsida; Fabales; Fabaceae. The record is from RNAcentral.